RNAcentral lists this ribosomal RNA (253 nucleotides) under uncultured bacterium. RNAcentral's name for it is "partial 16S ribosomal RNA". It matches the Rfam family "Bacterial small subunit ribosomal RNA", at positions 524 to 776 of the family's 1533-position model. The record is from RNAcentral.
UACAGAGGGGGCAAGCGUUAUUCGGAAUUAUUGGGCGUAAAGGGCGCGUAGGCGGCCUGGCAAGUGACGGGUGAAAGCCCUCGGCUCAACCGAGGAACUGCCUGUCAUACUGCCGGGCUUGAGUCCGGGAGAGGUGAGUGGAAUUCCCAGUGUAGCGGUGAAAUGCGUAGAUAUUGGGAGGAACACCAGUGGCGAAGGCGGCUCACUGGGCCGCAACUGACGCUGAGGAGCGAAAGCAUGGGGAGCGAACAGG